AUGGCAGACGAGAAAAGCCGCCACUCAGCAGCUACGGCCGGCCACAUCGUGGUCAACACUGUCACCAAGAUGCCCAUGAUGAGGCUGGACACCUUAAAGUCCUCUCUGGGCCUGAUGACCGAGGCUGUGAAGGUAGCAAUCGAUGUCAGGUACCACCACAUUGUGCCCAUGUGUACCAGAAUGAGCACGAGGUGGGGUUGGCCAUCCAUCAGAAGCUCAUGGAGCAAGUGGUGACACGGAGGGAGCUCUUCGUCAUUAGCAAGGUGUGGUGUCUAUACCAUAAGAAGGGCCUGCUGAAAGCAGCCUGUAAGAAUACACUCAGGACCUGCAGCUGGACUACCUGGAUCUCUACCUUAUUCACUGGCAGACAGGCUUUAAGGCUGGGAAGGAAUUUUUCCCAAUGCACAAAGCAGGCAACAUGAUUCCCAGUGACACAGAUAUUUUGGAUACAUGGACUGCCAUGGAAGAGCUGGCAAAUGAAGGGCUGGUGGCAGUUAUUGACAUCUCCAAUUUCAGCCAUCUCCAGAUGAGGAGGAUUUUAAACAAAUCUGGCUUAAAGUAUAAGCCAGUGGUUAACCAGAUUGAGUGCCACCUAUACUUAACUCAGGAGAAAGUUAGUCUAGUACUGCCUGUCAAAAGGCAUUGUGGUGACUGCCUAUAGCCCUUUGGCUCUCCCGACAGGCCCUGGGCCAAGCCCAAGGACCCAUCCCUCCUGGAGGAUCCCAGGAUCAAGUUGAUUGCAGCCAAGCACAAUAAAACUCCAGCCCAGAUUCUGAUCCAGUUUGCCAUGCAGAGGAACUUGGUGGUAAUCCCCAAGUCUGUGACACCUGAACACAUUGCUGAGAACUUUAAGAAUUUGACUUUGAACUGAGCAGCCAUGAUGUGACCACCCUACUGAGCUACAAAAGAAACUUGAGGGUCUGUGCCUUGGUAAGCUGUGCCUCCCACGAGGAUUACCCCUUCAAUGAGGAGUUUUGAAGCUGUGGAUGCCUGCUCUUCCAAAGUGACCUACACCCAUUUUUCCUGCCUCAUCUUCUUUGCAAAUGUAGUAUGGCCUCAGCCGUGGGAUAGCAACCUGAAGACUGACCAGUGAGGGUUUGUCUAGCUUUAUGCUGGGUCUAAAGAGCAGUAUCAGUAGAGUACAAGGCU
Propithecus coquereli (Coquerel's sifaka) is the source of this 1149-nucleotide RNA transcript. It is a transcript of the gene named aldose reductase pseudogene, with no coding region annotated. Lineage: Eukaryota; Metazoa; Chordata; Mammalia; Primates; Indriidae. The record is from RefSeq and is a predicted model, not a curated record. The transcript has 2 exons.